AUUGAACGCUGGCGGCAUGCUUUACACAUGCAAGUCGAACGGUAACAGGUUAAGCUGACGAGUGGCGAACGGGUGAGUAAUGCAUCGGAACGUGCCCGAUCGUGGGGGAUAACGCAGCGAAAGCUGCGCUAAUACCGCAUACGAUCUGAGGAUGAAAGCGGGGGAACGUAAGGCCUCGCGCGAUCGGAGCGGCCGAUGUCAGAUUAGGUAGUUGGUGGGGUAAAGGCCCACCAAGCCGACGAUCUGUGGCUGGUCUGAGAGGACGACCAGCCACACUGGGACUGAGACACGGCCCAGACUCCUACGGGAGGCAGCAGUGGGGAAUUUUGGACAAUGGGCGAAAGCCUGAUCCAGCAAUGCCGCGUGCAGGAAGAAGGCCUUCGGGUUGUAAACUGCUUUUGUACGGAGCGAAAAGGUCCUUUCUAAUACAAGGGGCUCAUGACGGUACCGUAAGAAUAAGCACCGGCUAACUACGUGCCAGCAGCCGCCGUAA
This 493-nucleotide ribosomal RNA is filed under the name uncultured bacterium. Its description in RNAcentral is "partial 16S ribosomal RNA". It matches the Rfam family "Bacterial small subunit ribosomal RNA", at positions 29 to 523 of the family's 1533-position model. The record is from RNAcentral.